Astatotilapia calliptera (eastern happy) is the source of this 2308-nucleotide long non-coding RNA. The record is from Ensembl. Lineage: Eukaryota; Metazoa; Chordata; Actinopteri; Cichliformes; Cichlidae.
GGUUACGGUUUGGUGUAUGGUGUGACUCAAAUAUUGCAAAACUAUGACAACACUACAAUGCGAUUGGUCAAUUCACAAUGUAAAACAUGAACCAACAUUAGUUUUUUUGCUCCAGGAGCAACACCAACACAAUGCUAUCAGAUUCAGCGACUACAGCCAUGUGUAAAAUAUGGUGUAUGGCAGUGGUCCACAACAUACUCUCAAUGCAGUCAAACCAUACCUAGAAAAACACAUGGAUUGGCCGUGCCAACACAUUCUCAUCCCAAAGCCUAACAUUCUAUGCUAGGUGACAAAUUGUCAACAUAUUACAUUUUCGGCCACCCAACACAUUACUAAAUGACGACAUCGGAAAAAUUAGGAAAUAUGACAACCCUUUGGACUCAAUCUACACAUGCUCGUUCAUUUUUUAUUUUUUUUUUUUAAACUCUUCCGAAAACACUAUUUCACAUCAUUAAACUGCUGGUUAAGGUUAGGAAUAAGGUUAGGGUUAGGGAGAAGGUUAGGUUUAGGGCUGGAAUACAUGGCUGCAAUGUUUACUACUGCAGGAGCGUUAUUCCACUGGAUUUCAUCCAUAACCCGGCGCAUACCAUUAGAACGAGGAAGGUCACCUUUCGUGUUCCUCAGGAAUGCCGCGGGACGUGACAAAACGUCGGGAUGAAGCCGGACCUCAACAUCAAUGAAGCAGUGUGGAACCAUGUUGAUGGACAAUGGAACAAAAAGCAGCCAACAUCCAAAGAAGAACUUUGAAUGUCCUUCAAGAAGUCUGGAGAACUUUUCCGGAAGACUACUUAAAGAAAUGACAAGAAAGCUGGCCUAAGAGAGCUCAGGCUGUGUUGCCGAAGAAAGGUGGACUUUCAAGUUUAUUAGUAUUGUUAACUGUUUUUGCCUUAUGUGCUUUAUUCUAUAUUUGCAUAUGUUUAAAAAUAAUUGCUGCACCUUUUUUCCCAUUUUCCUACAAAAAUACAAAGAAAUAAGGAGUGAGUCAAGACACAGUACUGUGUAUAGACAGAUAAAGUAGCUAGUGGAUACAAGAUACAAGUUUCUUCAAUUGAAGGCCAGUCUUGGUUUAAUUACAAUGCAGGCAACAUGUUUACACAUAGGCACACAAAAUAUUGAGCAGUCAGUUUUUAGCAAGAAAUUUCACUUUCACCAAAUAAAUAUGAAACAUCUUUCUGGCAUCAAGAUACAUGACUUUAUACAGUAAAGCCUAGAACAUGAAAGAAAAAUACAAACGACCAAAUGUGGACUUUAAUAUUUACAUAAAGUGAUGACCUAAAAGGCCUGACAAUGCAGAGAAAACAUAUUUUAUGACUCUGUAAUAAAAACUGGGCUGCCAAGUGUACAGUGCAACAUAUUUGUGAAUGAGUGUUUCACUAUCAAUGUACAGAGGCCGCUUCGAUAAGUAAAUUAGCUUUUCAGUUUCUUCUGGUGUGCUAGAAAGUUUUAGAAGCCUGGCUUAUUGUUAUCGCUGUUAUUAUCAUAGGACACACUCCUAUUCUCUGCAUUUUCAAUCUCAGCGCUAGUAGUUGGUUAAAAAAAACAAAAAACAAUGUGAAACCUGUCUUUAAGGUUUAUGGCUUCCCCACAACUACAGCUGCUCCAACACUGCAAUAUUUAAGUGGUGAGAAUGUGGGAACACAGAGAACAAUCCAAGGUGGAGACUCUGUAUCAAAACUUACCUAACAAAAAAACCCCACCACAACAAGAACUGAUACACUUCCAAAUAUUUCUGCAGAACAUUUUUACUACAAGGUGCCAAACUGUCUUCUGUCUGGGCCAAAAAUAUCAUCCAAGAUCAACAUGUACACUGAGGAAAUUACAUGAUAUUAUCUUUCAGCACUUUUUCCAGAAAUGUUUAAAUCCACAAAAUGGAAAGGAAAGGGACUCACCACAUCAUCAGUUGAAAUAUGGUACAUAACAAAUAUGUAGAACAAUGUAUCUAAAUAAAUAAAUGAAUAUAAAUAAAUGCUGUGCGAGUAUCAAAUGCACCAGUUGUCUUAAUUGCUGACACAUCAAGUCUUCUCAUGAACAUGUGAAUGAUAAAGAGUUUUUUUUAAGUCCAUGAAGCAUUUGUGUCAUAGUCUAAUAUUAACAGAUAAGUUGUGUUCACAAUGUUCUUGUUUGAUAGGAGCAAUUUCUUUACUCUCACUCAUGCUAAUCGUGCCCUCAUAUAAAACUGGAGUCUUGCCGGGAUAAUCAAAGCGAUUGCUUCAUUGUUAUGCAACACUGGCUGUAGGCCAUUGUUGACUUGUUAUAGGAAAAUCUGGGAACAUUUAUUUGGAACAAACUCACAUUCCUGUGAGAACAC